RNAcentral lists this ribosomal RNA (459 nucleotides) under uncultured bacterium. Its description in RNAcentral is "partial 16S ribosomal RNA". It matches the Rfam family "Bacterial small subunit ribosomal RNA", at positions 338 to 795 of the family's 1533-position model. The record is from RNAcentral.
CCUACGGGAGGCAGCAGUGAGGAAUAUUGGUCAAUGGGCGGAAGCCUGAACCAGCCAAGUAGCGUGCGGGAUGAAGGCCCUACGGGUCGUAAACCGCUUUUGCACGGGGAUAACACCCUCCACUUGUGGAGGUCUGCAGGUACCGUGCGAAUAAGGGCCGGCUACUUCCGUGCCAGCAGCCGCGGUAAUAAGGAAGGCCCGAGCGUUAUCCGGAUUCAUUGGGCUUAAAGGGAGAGUAGGCGGGCGUUCAAGUCAGCUGUAAAAUCGCGCGGCUCAACCGCGCCCCGCAGUUGAAACUGGACGCAUUGAGUGCACAACAGCCAGGCGGAAUUCGUGGUGUAGCGGUGAAAUGCAUAGAUAGCACGAGGAACCCCGAUUGCGAAGGCAGCCUGCCGGGGUGCGACUGACGCUGAGGCUCGAAGGUGCGGGUAUCAAACAGGAUUAGAUACCCUAGUAGUC